This 490-nucleotide ribosomal RNA is filed under the name uncultured bacterium. RNAcentral describes it as "partial 16S ribosomal RNA". It matches the Rfam family "Bacterial small subunit ribosomal RNA", at positions 30 to 507 of the family's 1533-position model. The record is from RNAcentral.
AUUGAACGCUGGCGGCAUGCCUAACACAUGCAAGUCGAACGGUAACACGAAGAUCCUUCUUUCUUUGCUUACGAGUGGCGGGCGUGUGAGACAUGUCUGGGAAACUGCCUGAUGGAUGGGGAUAACUACUGGAAACGGUAGCUAAAACCGCAUAACGUCGCAAGACCAAAGAUGGGGACCUUCGGGCCUCUUGCCAUCGGCUGUGCCCAGAUGGGAUUAGCUAGUUGGUGGGGUAACGGCUCACCUAGGCGACGAUCCCUAGCUGGUCUGAGAGGAUGACCAGCCACACUGGAACUGAGACACGGUCCAGACUCCUACGGGAGGCAGCAGUGGGGAAUAUUGCACAAUGGGCGCAAGCCUGAUGCAGCCAUGCCGCGUGUGUGAAGAAGGCCUUCGGGUUGUAAAGUACUUUUAGCAGGGAGGAAGGGAGUAGAGUUAAUACCUUGGCGCAUUGACGGUACCCGCAGAAGAAGCACCGGCUAACUACGUG